This 502-nucleotide ribosomal RNA is filed under the name uncultured Glomus. RNAcentral describes it as "SSU rRNA". It matches the Rfam family "Eukaryotic small subunit ribosomal RNA", at positions 569 to 1074 of the family's 1831-position model. The record is from RNAcentral. Lineage: Eukaryota; Fungi; Glomeromycota; Glomeromycetes; Glomerales; Glomeraceae.
AGCAGCCGCGGUAAUUCCAGCUCCAAUAGCGUAUAUUAAAGUUGUUGCAGUUAAAAAGCUCGUAGUUGAAUUUCGGGAUCAAUACGUCGGUCGUGCUUCGGUACGUACUGGCGUCAUUGGUUUCUCCCUUCUGACGAACCAUGAUGUCAUUAACUUGGUGUCAUGGGAAAUCAGGACUGUUACUUUGAAAAAAUUAGAGUGUUUAAAGCAGGCUCACGCUUGAAUACAUUAGCAUGGAAUAAUGAAAUAGGACGUUCGAUCCUAUUUUGUUGGUUUCUAGGAUUGACGUAAUGAUUAAUAGGGAUAGUUGGGGGCAUUAGUAUUCAAUUGUCAGAGGUGAAAUUCUUGGAUUUAUUGAAGACUAACUACUGCGAAAGCAUUUGCCAAGGAUGUUUUCAUUAAUCAAGAACGAAAGUUAGGGGAUCGAAGACGAUCAGAUACCGUCGUAGUCUUAACCAUAAACUAUGCCGACUAGGGAUCGGAUGAUGUUAAUUUUUAAUGA